UACGUAGGGCGCAAGCGUUGUCCGGAAUUAUUGGGCGUAAAGAGCUCGUAGGCGGCUUGUCACGUCGGGUGUGAAAGCCCGGGGCUUAACCCCGGGUCUGCAUUCGAUACGGGCUAGCUAGAGUGUGGUAGGGGAGAUCGGAAUUCCUGGUGUAGCGGUGAAAUGCGCAGAUAUCAGGAGGAACACCGGUGGCGAAGGCGGGUCUCUGGGCCGAAACUGACGCUGAGGAGCGAAAGCGUGGGGAGCAAACAGG
Molecule: ribosomal RNA, 253 nt
Filed under: uncultured bacterium
Lineage: Bacteria
Description: partial 16S ribosomal RNA
Rfam family: Bacterial small subunit ribosomal RNA
Source: RNAcentral